GAUGAACGCUAGCUACAGGCUUAACACAUGCAAGUCGAGGGGCAGCAUGGACUCAGCUUUGCUGAGUUUGAUGGCGACCGGCGCACGGGUGAGUAACGCGUAUCCAACCUGCCCUUUACUCCGGGAUAGUCUCCUGAAAGGGAGUUUAAUACCGGAUGUGUUUGUUUUUCCGCAUGGGAGCGACAAAUAAAGAUUAAUUGGUAAAGGAUGGGGAUGCGUCCCAUUAGCUUGUUGGCGGGGUAACGGCCCACCAAGGCAACGAUGGGUAGGGGUUCUGAGAGGAAGGUCCCCCACAUUGGAACUGAGACACGGUCCAAACUCCUACGGGAGGCAGCAGUGAGGAAUAUUGGUCAAUGGGCGAGAGCCUGAACCAGCCAAGUAGCGUGAAGGACGACGGCCCUACGGGUUGUAAACUUCUUUUAUAAGGGAAUAAAGUUCGCCACGUGUGGUGUU
RNAcentral lists this ribosomal RNA (453 nucleotides) under uncultured bacterium. Its description in RNAcentral is "bacterial SSU rRNA". It matches the Rfam family "Bacterial small subunit ribosomal RNA", at positions 28 to 470 of the family's 1533-position model. The record is from RNAcentral.